RNAcentral lists this unclassified non-coding RNA (268 nucleotides) under uncultured fungus. RNAcentral's name for it is "partial contains small subunit ribosomal RNA, internal transcribed spacer 1, and 5.8S ribosomal RNA". The stretch from base 1 to 73 matches the Rfam family "Eukaryotic small subunit ribosomal RNA", at positions 1759 to 1831 of the family's 1831-position model. The record is from RNAcentral. Lineage: Eukaryota; Fungi.
UCAAACUUGGUCAUUUAGAGGAAGUAAAAGUCGUAACAAGGUAACCGUAGGUGAACCUGCGGUUGGAUCAUUAAUAAAUGAUAGCCAGUUCUCCUUGCUUUGCAGGGAUUGAGCAGGCAUUUACCCUUUGUGAACUGUAUUUUAUCUUGGGUGCGGCGGUUUACUGCUGCGCUCACUAUAAACCCCUAUAUGAUUAACUGAAUGUGAUCUAAGAGUAACAACUUUUGACAAUGGAUCUCUUGGCUCUCGCAUCGAUGAAGAACGCAGC